GGCCAAUCAGCACUUCCUGAAGCCAAUGUGACCCUACUGUGAUACAAUGCCCAGAGCUGAAGACUGUGUUCUACAUUGAGGAUUCAAAGAUGCCAAGAUGAGGAAAAUGAGGAACAAGUCCACUCAGCUACUAAUUCGUGGAGAACAAGAAUCACGUCCAGUCUGAUUCCAAGAUCUACACUCAUCCUAUCCAUAUUAUGCUGCCUUCUCAGGAUAGCAAGUAGUUUGGCUCCUUAAGUGACACUGGAUAUCUUUUUUAAAGAACCCAUGUGUUUGUUUAUGACAUGACUCAAUCUUGCUGGUGAUCUGGAAGGUCUGGUGCCUACUCAUGGAUUCUUUGAAUAAGCCCCAUGUUCUUGCUACUGAAUAAACAUGAUGUAUACCCCAUGUUAUCAAGAGGAUUCAUAGAUGAACAUGUGCUGGGUGCCUCUAAAGAAAGUAGAUCAACAAGUUUUUUUCUUUUGGUGAAGAGCAGAUGGGCUCAAAAUAAACCUCUGGUUCAUCAUACACGCUCAGACAACCCUCCAGGAAAGGGAGGUUUUUGCCCUCCUUUGCAAGGUCAGUCUCUUUCCAUUUUUUCCCCAAAUCCCCCCUCACCCCCACAGGCACUUCUCUUUUAUAUGUUUAAUUACUUCAUAGCUUUUCNCAGGAAAGGGAGGUUUUUGCCCUCCUUUGCAAGGUCUGUCCUGAGAUGUCAUUGUCCGGGCUUGGGAAGUACAGUCUCUGUCUGCCACACCAGGAAUGCCGUCAGCUUGAGUAUGUUUCUUACGUGCGCAUCACACGCGGUGGUUUGGUCAAUGGCCAGUAUUCCCCUUCCCCUUCCCACCUCCUCAUCAUCCCCACGUCGCCGUGUGUCCCUAGCUGUGUGGAAUCUGGGCCCAGCCUUGAGAACAGCUCUGCCUCUCAGGGGAGAGGCUGAUUGGCUAUGCUCUUCACCCCGAA
RNAcentral lists this long non-coding RNA (942 nucleotides) under Vulpes vulpes (red fox). RNAcentral describes it as "lncRNA (ENSVVUG00000011916.1)". Lineage: Eukaryota; Metazoa; Chordata; Mammalia; Carnivora; Canidae. The record is from RNAcentral.